GAACGGCAGGUGAACUACAACUCCCAGAGGGUAGCCCGCCUCCGUGACGACCACAGAUCCGCAUCGAAAGAACUGGUCCAGAACUGCACAUCUAAACCUAGGUUUUCUGCUCUCCACUAUUUAAUUCAGCUCCGUGAAGUAAACCUUAGGACUCGGGGUAGGGAUCGCCUUACCUUCUCCGGGAGGCAAAGCCGCGUCCACGCGCGCCACCGCCAUAUUUGCUGCUUGCUAAUAAUACCAGGCAACCGUCCUCCCGCGGCUCUGUGGAGCUUGUAGUCUGAAGGAGGGAGCCGGAAACUAUAACUCCCAGGAUGCACGGCUCCCAGACGGCCCAAUUGGCUGCUUACGCCUAAUGAUGUGAAGCUGGAGUUAGAAUCUGAGGGUAGUGAGCUCAGGGACCCUGGCCCACUCGCUUAUUUGACAGAUGAGUCAACUGCGUUAUUAGAUGAUCAUUUCACUUCCUUGUCCAGGCGUUUGCAAAAUUUGACACUUUUACCAUCGGGAUAUUACAUUUGUCACAAGAAAGUUCGGCAUGUGAUAGCAGCUGUAGCCUCAGUCACCCUCAGAAUCGCUGUCCCUCCUCAUGAGGACAGAGUGCCGCACUGAGGACAGCAAUACAUCUUCAAUCGGCUUCUUAGGGUUUUCCUCCAGGUCCAUCAUAAUUGCUCCAGAUUCAGACAGUUUCCAUUCCAACUCAUCUCUUGUCAGGUUCAUGCCACCAAACACCAGAGGACCAAUAAACUGAGCCUUGAUAUCUCCUUCCAGGUAAACAAAUAUCGUGGGCAGAUUCCUAUCAGGAUAAUUGGGUAUGCAGGUUGUUGAAAUGGCUUUGAUAAAUUUGACAUCAGGAAACUUCCUGGCAAGUCCACCGAGGUUCUGAUUUAUCAGGGCACAGAGGGGAAUUCCUUGUUUGUAAAGGUGCAAGAUGACCCACAAGCCCUCACCAGCUUUGGUAACUUCUUGAACAUAAUCCUUCCCUGAGAUCUCCAAAACUUCUCAAAAUUUAUUCUUCAAUUUAGUUGCUUUCCACUCAGCCAGUCUCUGCCGUCUGCACAUUUCAAUAGCACAUUCAUCCUCCUCAUUAAACUCAUCUUCAUGAUCCUCCAGCUCUUCCAAAGUCAUAUCUUCAUAUGUUUUCACCACUGACUGCUGGAGGAUGCACUGCUCCUCUUCUGCCUCCUCUUCCAAUUCUUUCAGACUUUCCUUGGGGGGUAAGAUACCCUUUUUGCGUUAAGAUGUCAUUCCACUCAGUGUCUGCGUUGGGGUCCUGCAUCUUGUUUCCAGUUCAGUUGCUCAAGCCAGCUGUGCCGCCUUGUUUUUUUGUUUUUUUGUUUUUUGUUUUUUUGAGACAGAGUUUUGCUCCUGUUGCUCAGGCUGGAGUGCAGUGGCACAAUCUCGGCUCACUGCAACCUCCACCUCCUGGGUUCAAGCUAUUCUCCUGCCUCAGCCUCCCCAGUAGCUGGGAUUACAG
Molecule: long non-coding RNA, 1471 nt
Filed under: Pan troglodytes (chimpanzee)
Lineage: Eukaryota; Metazoa; Chordata; Mammalia; Primates; Hominidae
Description: long non-coding RNA NONPTRT012027
Source: RNAcentral